GUCUAUGGCCAUGCUGCCCUGAACAAGCUGGAUAUCUGAUCUCGGAAGCUAAGCAGGGUCCAGCCUGGUUAGUACUUGGAUGGGAGACCACCUAGGAAGACCAGGUGCUAUAGGCA
This 116-nucleotide ribosomal RNA is filed under the name Pteropus alecto (black flying fox). Lineage: Eukaryota; Metazoa; Chordata; Mammalia; Chiroptera; Pteropodidae. The record is from RNAcentral. RNAcentral also lists the same sequence under 1 other name.